UCUGGGCCGCUUCACGCAGCGUGCGCUUCCGCUCUGACGUCACCACGCCGUGCCGGCCCGCGCCAACUAGUCCCAUGGAGCCUUGCCACCGCCCACCGUACCUCCUCCCGUACUGUAUUGAGAGCUGUAGCUGCUAUGUGGGACCCUCGGGUGACCUGGUGUCCUGCUGGGGCUCCAGAGUGGUCUAGGAGGCCCUUAGUUCUUUAUAGCUAAAAUAGAUCCAAGCCGCUUAAUUUGUAAUAUUUUUAGCCACAAGGAUAAUAAAAGAGUUUUACGAGGUAACUUCUCCCGAAGUUGGAGUUGGCAAAAUUUGCUCUAACCCCUGCGCGAUUUUGUUAAUUUGUGUAGAAUGUGUGACCUUUUGCUUCCUUCUGGUGCCCUCUCCGAACUUUCCGAAUUUGCGAGGCGCAGCUUCAGUAUGUGCACCGAGAAGCCUAGGGCCGACCUCCGCCCCCUUUGACGCCCCCUUUGACGGGUGUAAGCAGUACACCCUGCUGUCGUGUAUGGAGGACGAACUUAAAGUGACCCGCACAGAAUCUGGAAAGGACUGUUACACUGUAUUUUUAAGGAACAGGAAUGUGAACCACAUCGGUUCCCCCCAAAAUCUUGUGGAUGAGCGUUUUCUAUCAAAAGUCAAGGUUUAAUGAGUGAGAGGACGAUUGCUCUCACUGCUUGGCUUGCGAAACAGUGACAGUGCCACAGUUAUCCGUAAUCUGGAAAAUCCCUAGUUUCCAAAAAUAGUUUUAGGAUAAGAACCUUACAGAGAUAAUCUGAUUAUGCCUGAGAGUCCUGGUUAGCGCAAAUAAGAGAAGUCGAUCUCAUUUAUAUUUUUUCCUGUGACGUUAGCUAACAAUUCCCAAAAUUUCCUGAAAUUUGAAGUAAAAACAAUGAUACUGAAUGAAACUACUGGAGUCCAGAGUUAGAGAAAAAGGACUUGACCAUCUUGGUUUACUUCAACCAACUUUAUAUCCCACCCUUGAAUUUCUUAGAGAUUGUCUAGGGAUGAGAUUCCCCACAACUUUUCUACUACAUAGUUCCGUUGUAAGGCUUAAUUUAUUUAACUAUGAAAAAAGCAUUGAAACUUUGAUCUGUAGGGUAAAGGGAAUUUGAAUACAUUUUUAUUUUGUCAGUGAUGUCCCUGAGAUAGGAUAGUAAGAAGCUAGGACAAUUCUUUGGCCAGCGGCAUGGGGAAACAGACAGCUGAACAAACUGACCCCAGCAAUUUACAACCAGAUACAGAAGCUACCCUCCAUGGAGAUGACUUCUAGGCUUCAGAUGUAUUUCAGCUCCAGGCCCAGAAAAGCAGCAAAACCAGGUGGGCAGUGCCAGGACCAGCUGCAAUGACUAAUGACCCCCUGCCCUGGCAUUGACCAAUAAGUGAAGACCAUGGUCCUGAAAGUUUACACCUGGAGAAGCUGAUGAAUGUUCUAUUGAGAUCUUCCCCUACGACCUCCCAAACCCUAAAAACUGUCAAAAUGAAGGUCCCAGCACAUGCUGUCCUUCCUAGAAGCAUGUUGUUCUUUUCCUUUUCCCCUCUUUCCCAACAGGCUGCACAGGAUUCCCAGGAGACUUGUAACCAGGUGAGAAAUGGGCAGUGGCAGCUUGUCCUUGGCUAAACCCCUGAACCUGUCUCCAAAACACUGUUUCUGCUGACUUCUCAGGAUUGAGCCUGCAACUGUGGAGUGUCUGGAUGAUGCUCUGACUAACUGAGAUACCUGGCCAUGUCAUCCUGUUUCUUCUUUCCUCUGACUUCCCAGUGCGCCAAAACAGCCCUGCCUAGGCCCCCACCUGCUUCUUCUAUCCUAGGCCCUUCCAUGUUUCACUGUCCCCCGCUUCAAUAAACAUACUCUGUAAAUCA
This is a long non-coding RNA of Phyllostomus discolor (pale spear-nosed bat), 1858 nucleotides long. RefSeq lists it as uncharacterized. NCBI's taxonomy places the organism in Eukaryota, Metazoa, Chordata, Mammalia, Chiroptera, Phyllostomidae. The record is from RefSeq and is a predicted model, not a curated record. The transcript has 2 exons.